This is a long non-coding RNA of Benincasa hispida (wax gourd), 2237 nucleotides long. RefSeq lists it as uncharacterized. NCBI's taxonomy places the organism in Eukaryota, Viridiplantae, Streptophyta, Magnoliopsida, Cucurbitales, Cucurbitaceae. The record is from RefSeq and is a predicted model, not a curated record.
UAAAAUAUAAGAUAUGCAAGAACAACUCUAAGCGUCGUUGUCUAACUCACCAAAAGUAGUUUCCAACUGACGAUGACCAAUUGCCUUGAAAAUCGAAGAAUGAACGGACGAUGGACGACGGACGACAAACAAUAAACGAUGGAUGAACGGUGACAGAUGAGUGGUUCAAUUUGAGCGACGAACAAAUGCUUCUAGUUGGUUUGACACAGAUGCAGAUGAUUUGGGCGAAGAUUUGAGCAAUGCGGACACACCAAAACAUUGUGAACGAAGAUGUGAGUGAUGCAGAAUGUACCCAAAACGACGCGCAGACGAAUGGUCAAACGAUUUGACGAUGGCGACUCGUGGAUGAAUGGACGAUUGAAGGAUGAUGAAGAAUGGAUGAACGAUGAUCGGAUGUUGAAGGACACAAUCAAUAUGUUAGAAUGAAGAAUGGAUGAAUGGCCGAACGAUUUGAGCAUUGUUGUGUGAUAGGGUUAGAACGAAGAAAGGGUAGAAGAUGAAAGUAGAUUCUGAAAUGGGGGUUUCAAUUUAGGGAUUCAAAGCAGAACUCCUGAUGAGAUAUCAUACCAUUGAGAGUUGUGUAAGAACUCUCGAUGAAUUAUUUAAUUCAUCGGAAGUUUGGAUCGUCUAGAUUGUCUUUCGUCCCCAACGCCCGACGGGCAUGGUGAGGCAUUGGGAGUUUUGUCGAACUCCCGACAGGCCUGUUAUGUCUUAUAUUGAAGUUUAUAGUAAAGGCCCAAAAGAAAGAAUGAAAUGUUAAUAUUUGGCCUAAGAACAUUCAAUGAUAGGUGCCACUUGUGAUGCCAAACUUGCCAAGUAGCUAUGAAAGAAAAACCAUAUGGAAAAACACUUUUCUUAUAAAAUUUUGUUGUUCAUUUCCGAUUUAACCUCUCACUCUAGAACUUAGUUUUCUCUCUAGAUGUUCUUCAUGUUUUUUAGUGAUUUGAAGAAGACGGUUGAUUCUAAGCAUGCAAAUCAGUAAGAAUGUAGAGAAGGGGAAGAAGGAAACAAAGAUUAUAGUGGUUCAGUCAUUGUGACCUACAACCACAUCAACAAGGCAACCUUUUUACCUUGGGAGAUUGUAGCUUGUGCGAUCAAGUUGCAAACAAUAUUAAAGUGUAGGUGAUGUACCGAAAGCCAGUAUUGACCCCAAGAUAGAAGGGCAAUCAGAGCAACCUGUGCCCAACAAUUACUGGAAGUUCCAAUGGUCAGGGCUAGCUUCUUGACCUAAGCAAUUGAGAGUAAUCUUCUGCAUGUAAGACUCCUUGUGGUGACAUCACUCCAAUUUCUCCAGGGAUGUUUUCUCCUCUAUCUUUACCUUGCUUUCCUAGUUAGUUUAUUUUUAUUGUUAUUUAGGAUAUGCAGCUGCUUUCUUGGAUGUGGUGUGUUUACUCCUUGUAGGUACGGCAAUAAUUCUCCUUCGUGCGCAGUACAAUAGAAGAAUUCCCUCCAUCUUUCAACGCAUGGUUUCGAUUGCAUGAAAUCUAAAGCAUGGUCGCAAGUGUAUUCUACUCAAGGUCCUUUUCUUGUUAUCCUUUAAGCAUUAUCCUUUUGAAAUUCUCUUUGUCCGAUUGCUUUCCUUUGCGAUGCAUCUAUGAUGGUACGUGUAAUUCACUACAUCCGCCAACUAAGUAUCACAAAGCUCACUUUACUUUUAAAGCGUCUUCAAAAUUUGAUAGUCUAAGUUUUAUUAUGUGCAAACCUUUUCUCAAACAUUUGUUACUGCAUUUCUGUUGGUUUUGUUUUUAACUUUGCAGCGAGAGCGCUGCCAACCUCUAAGUUUGGGGGUGGCAGCGAUCCUGGAGAAAUGCGUUCACUACAUUGCGAUGCUAUAAAAAAAAAAAAAUCAGGAAUAACAACUGCACUGUCAACACAAUGGGGAAACCCAUGUUGAUAAGAGUUAAGUUGUGAAAGGAAUUACCCAUAGUUGGAUGUCUGCAUGACACACGUGGUGGCAAGCCAAAACCAAAGUAAGUUUCCAGGAUCAACGCAAGCGCAACUCUUCUGUCUGGCGCAAUCCAAAUUAAACCAAGACAAUAGUUGAGUUGAAUAUGGCAGGCAACCGAAGUUGGCUCUUUGCAUGACACAUAUGGGGGCAAGCCAAAACGAAGAGCAUAACCAGGUUUAAUGCCGAGUUCUGAUAAUAAAAUCGCAAAGCUUUAAGUUGUUUUAAACGAACAAAUUCUUAGAAGCUAAACGCAAAGUUGCAGGGAAUGAGUAAAAACUUUUUUAGCAAA